GUCUUUUUGAUUAUAAUUUAAAGUCUAACCUGCCCACUGAAUAUUUUGAAGGGCCGCGGUAUUUUGACUGUGCAAAGGUAGCAUAAUCAUUAGUCUUUUAAUUGGAGGCUUGUAUGAAUGGUUGGAUGAGGUAUUAACUGUCUCAAUUUAAUAAAUAAUAGAAUUUUAUUUUUAAGUUAAAAAGCUUAAAUUUUAUUAAAAGACGAGAAGACCCUAUAGAUCUUUAUAAUUAAUUUUAUAAUAAUUUUUUGGAUUAAAUUUAUUUUUAUAAGAUAAAUUAUUAUAUUGGGGUGAUAAAAAAAUUUAUAAAACUUUUUUUAUAUUAAAACAAUGAUAUUUGAUUAAUUGAUCCAUUUUUUGUGAUUAUAAGAUUAAGUUACCUUAGGGAUAACAGCGUAAUUUUUUUGGAGAGUUCAUAUCGAUAAAAAAGAUUGCGACCUCGAUGUUGAAUUAAAGGUUAAUUUUAGGUGUAGAAGUUUAAAAUUUUGGUCUGUUCGACCAUUAAAUC
Molecule: ribosomal RNA, 508 nt
Filed under: Parachauliodes continentalis
Lineage: Eukaryota; Metazoa; Arthropoda; Insecta; Megaloptera; Corydalidae
Description: partial large subunit ribosomal RNA
Rfam family: Bacterial large subunit ribosomal RNA
Source: RNAcentral